UUUAUGGAGAGUUUGAUCCUGGCUCAGAGUGAACGCUGGUGGCGUGCCUAAUACAUGCAAGUCGAACGAUGAAGUCCUAGCUUGCUAGGAUGGAUUAGUGGCGCACGGGUGAGUAAUAUAUAGUUAAUCUGCCCUACACAGAGGAACAACAGUUGGAAACGACUGCU
RNAcentral lists this ribosomal RNA (167 nucleotides) under Campylobacter ureolyticus. Its description in RNAcentral is "partial 16S ribosomal RNA". It matches the Rfam family "Bacterial small subunit ribosomal RNA", at positions 1 to 164 of the family's 1533-position model. Lineage: Bacteria; Pseudomonadati; Campylobacterota; Epsilonproteobacteria; Campylobacterales; Campylobacteraceae. The record is from RNAcentral.